GCAUUUAAGCUAUUGAAGGCGUUGCGCUGCCCUCCGAAGGCAGAGGUCAGAGGUUCGAAUCCUCUCGAGUGCGCCA
This 76-nucleotide transfer RNA is filed under the name Alphaproteobacteria bacterium. Its description in RNAcentral is "tRNA-Arg". The stretch from base 9 to 73 matches the Rfam family "tRNA". Rfam says of the family: Transfer RNA (tRNA) molecules are approximately 80 nucleotides in length. Their secondary structure includes four short double-helical elements and three loops (D, anti-codon, and T loops). The record is from RNAcentral. Lineage: Bacteria; Pseudomonadati; Pseudomonadota; Alphaproteobacteria.